This is a long non-coding RNA of Vespula pensylvanica (western yellowjacket), 913 nucleotides long. RefSeq lists it as uncharacterized. Lineage: Eukaryota; Metazoa; Arthropoda; Insecta; Hymenoptera; Vespidae. The transcript is spliced from 3 exons. The record is from RefSeq and is a predicted model, not a curated record.
UAAUUUUUAAGUUCGUAUGUCAUAUAUUCAAUGUUACGAUAUUUUCAUGUAAAUAGAUCAAAACUUUACAAGCACGUGGGAAGCCAUUGCACAGAUGAUGUGAUAUGCAUAUGCGACAGUCAACUUAGUUUCCUUGCUGCUGCUGAUUCAGCUAUUUUGAAUUAUUUCAUCCUCAUUAAUUGCAGAAUGAAGUACGACGUUCGGAAUUUUCAUCAUCGUCAAUUUUACUUAUCCAUAAUAAGAAAUGGUAUUCAACACUCGACAACAAUUGAACGUAUGCAUUGUGACUUUGUUCGUUAUAGUUAACAAUAUAAUGUGGCGUACGUACUUAGAAAUACGCAGAAUGGAUUUGGCUAGAGUCUAACAGAAUUAACGUCUUCUGUUUAAGUUUAUACAUUCAUUCUUCGAUUAAGCAAUGUUUUCUUAUGGAAACUUUCUUUUGUCCUUUUCUUUUGGUUAUACAUUUUUUAUUAAAUAUGUUGUACAUAUAUCGAAUAGCUGAGGAUUCUGAAUUCAUUUUACUUUAAUAGCAUUCUUGUAAUUUUAUUUCUUUAAUUUUGUAGUAAUGAAUUUAAUAUGGAUUCUUUCAACAUUUAUGGUUGACAUGUAAUUAGUGAUGGACAUCAUUGGAAUAAGAAAUAUCUAGGCAUAAGACUUUUAUUUCAUUCAAUAAUAAAUAUUUACUGAAAAUCGAAGAUGUUAAGUUUUAUAUAAUCUUAUAAAUUGCAUCCUAGAACUAUGAAUUCUUCUAUUGUCAACUGGACAUAGUUGGAAAUUUAUGUGCAUGAUAAACGAUCACGAAUAUCAUUCAUAAACUAAAUAUAUUUUAUUCUUUAUUUUUUAGCAAAUACACAAUUACAAUUAAGUGGAUAAAAUAUUCAUUUUUUUAUGAAAUUUAAAUAUAUUACACAGA